CAGCCGCCGCGGUAAUACGUAGGGUGCAAGCGUUAAUCGGAAUUACUGGGCGUAAAGCGUGCGCAGGCGGUUCGCUAAGACAGAUGUGAAAUCCCCGGGCUUAACCUGGGAACUGCAUUUGUGACUGGCGGGCUAGAGUAUGGCAGAGGGGGGUAGAAUUCCACGUGUAGCAGUGAAAUGCGUAGAGAUGUGGAGGAAUACCGAUGGCGAAGGCAGCCCCCUGGGCCAAUACUGACGCUCAUGCACGAAAGCGUGGGGAGCAAAUGGGAUUAGAUACCCGCGUAGUCCCUGUCUCUUAUAC
Molecule: ribosomal RNA, 301 nt
Filed under: uncultured bacterium
Lineage: Bacteria
Description: partial 16S ribosomal RNA
Rfam family: Bacterial small subunit ribosomal RNA
Source: RNAcentral